This 463-nucleotide ribosomal RNA is filed under the name Acinetobacter sp. oral taxon F58. RNAcentral's name for it is "bacterial SSU rRNA". It matches the Rfam family "Bacterial small subunit ribosomal RNA", at positions 30 to 486 of the family's 1533-position model. Lineage: Bacteria; Pseudomonadati; Pseudomonadota; Gammaproteobacteria; Moraxellales; Moraxellaceae. The record is from RNAcentral.
AUUGAACGCUGGCGGCAGGCUUAACACAUGCAAGUCGAGCGGGGGAGGUUGCUUCGGUAACUGACCUAGCGGCGGACGGGUGAGUAAAGCUUAGGAAUCUGCCUAUUAGUGGGGGACAACAUUCCGAAAGGGAUGCUAAUACCGCAUACGCCCUACGGGGGAAAGCAGGGGAUCUUCGGACCUUGCGCUAAUAGAUGAGCCUAAGUCGGAUUAGCUAGUUGGUGGGGUAAAGGCCUACCAAGGCGACGAUCUGUAGCGGGUCUGAGAGGAUGAUCCGCCACACUGGGACUGAGACACGGCCCAGACUCCUACGGGAGGCAGCAGUGGGGAAUAUUGGACAAUGGGGGGAACCCUGAUCCAGCCAUGCCGCGUGUGUGAAGAAGGCCUUUUGGUUGUAAAGCACUUUAAGCGAGGAGGAGGCUUACCUGGUUAAUACCUAGGAUAAAGGGACGUACUCGCAGAA